This 466-nucleotide ribosomal RNA is filed under the name uncultured bacterium. Its description in RNAcentral is "partial 16S ribosomal RNA". It matches the Rfam family "Bacterial small subunit ribosomal RNA", at positions 28 to 507 of the family's 1533-position model. The record is from RNAcentral.
GAUGAACGCUGGCGGCGUGCUUAACACAUGCAAGUCGAACGAUGAAGCCCAGCUUGCUGGGUGGAUUAGUGGCGAACGGGUGAGUAACACGUGAGUAACCUGCCCUUAACUCUGGGAUAAGCCUGGGACACUGGGUCUAAUACCGGAUAGGAGCGUCCACCGCAUGGUGGGUGUUGGAAAGAUUUAUCGGUUUUGGAUGGACUCGCGGCCUAUCAGCUUGUUGGUGAGGUAAUGGCUCACCAAGGCGACGACGGGUAGCCGGCCUGAGAGGGUGACCGGCCACACUGGGACUGAGACACGGCCCAGACUCCUACGGGAGGCAGCAGUGGGGAAUAUUGCACAAUGGGCGAAAGCCUGAUGCAGCGACGCCGCGUGAGGGAUGACGGCCUUCGGGUUGUAAACCUCUUUCAGUAGGGAAGAAGCGAAAGUGACGGUACCUGCAGAAGAAGCACCGGCUAACUACGUG